Molecule: ribosomal RNA, 422 nt
Filed under: uncultured prokaryote
Description: bacterial SSU rRNA
Rfam family: Bacterial small subunit ribosomal RNA
Source: RNAcentral
UGAGGAAUAUUGGUCAAUGGGCGUAAGCCUGAACCAGCCAUCCCGCGUGAAGGAAGAAGGCGCUAUGCGUUGUAAACUUCUUUUCCAGGGGAAGAAAACCCAAUACGCGUAUUGGCUUGCCGGUACCCUGGGAAUAAGCAUCGGCUAACUCCGUGCCAGCAGCCGCGGUAAUACGGAGGCUGCGAGCGUUAUCCGGAUUUAUUGGGUUUAAAGGGUGCGUAGGCGGAUUAAUAAGUCAGUGGUGAAAACCUUCAGCUUAACUUGAGAACUGCCAUUGAUACUGGUAGUCUUGAGUACGGUCAAGGGAGGCGGAAUGUGUAAUGUAGCGGUGAAAUGCUUAGAUAUUACACAGAACACCGAUUGCGAAGGCAGCUUACUGGGCCAUUACUGACGCUGAUGCACGAAAGCGUGGGGAGCGAACA